UUUCAGGAACACGGGCAGCUUGACCUCCCUCUAAGUAGGGUUUGUGUCUCCGAGGCCCUUUGGGUCUCUUGGCCUUGUGCUUUCUUCACAGCCAGCUGAGAGUGACCGCCCUGUAAUCAGGGAUUGGGUCUUUGCCCUUCAGUCUCUUGGCACGAGGACAGUGUAGCCAGCUGGUCUGAAAGACCACCCUUAAAACGAGGUACAGGUCUCAUCAGACACCAUUUAUGGUACCCCCAUGACACUGUGUCCAGAGUCCUGGCCCUUCACACUGCGCUUCCAACUUGCCUGGAAUGCUGCAGCCAACCUCCUGCUCUCUUCCUCACUUACUGGGCUCUCGGAGACCCGACAUCCAGCUGCUCUUGCUGCUUCAAGCACAAGCGGACAAAAAGGAAGUUUCAGGAUUGUCAAGCAAAGACGUGGAAAGACAACAAGUCACAGAAGAUGGAGGAGAAGGAAAGGGAUUCUGUGCACAGUAGCCUCCCUCUAAUCAGGCCUCAGUUCAUGUCAUGAUACUGUAUGGGGAUCUCAAGCUUUCAAUCCCUUGAGCAGCGUAACCGCCCUGUAAGCAGAGUCCGGGUCUGUGCCAUUUUGUCCUUUUGACAUUAUGCUCCGUUAGCUGGCUAGUGAGGGUGACUGCCCUGUAAUCAGGGUGCAAGUCACCUCCCCCUGUCUCUUGAGGGCCAUUGAGCUCUUUGUUAAAUUGAGCAAUGAGACCGUCCCGUAACUGGGGUCCUAGUCUCUGCCCACUUGCUCACUUGGCAUUAGGCCCUGCUCUGGUCCACUAGUCAGCGUGACAACCCUGUAAGUAGGGUGCAUGUCACAAGCCUCCAUAGAAUGGGACAUACUGAGCUCUUGUGUACUUUGAGCAGCUUGACCUUCCUGUAAUUCAGGUUAUGAUCUCUGCUCUGUGGCUAAUGCCAGUGACCAGCCUCUAAUCAAGGUACAGGUUGCAUCUCUCUUUUCCAAGCUGGGGGAUGAGAAACAACUCAGUAACAUGGGCAGCUUGACCUCCCUCUAAGUAGGGUUUGCGUCUCCCAGGCCCUUUGGGUCUCUUGGCCUUGUGCUGUCUUCACACCCUGCUGACAGAGACAGCCCUGUACUCAGGUAUCGGCUGUUUUCCCCUUGUCUUUUGAGGGCCGUUGAGUCCUUUGUUAAAUAGAACAAUGUGACCGCCCUGUAACUAGAGUCCGGGUCUCUGCCCACUUCCUCACUUGGCAUUAGGCCUUGCUCUGGCCCACUAGUCAGUGUGACAACCCUGUAACUAGGGUGCAUGUCAAAAGUCUCUAUAGAAUGGGACAUACUGAGUUCUUGUGUACUUUGAGCAGCUUGAUCUUUCUGUAAUUCAGGUUAUGGUCUCUGCUCUGUGGCUAAUGCCUGUGACCACCCUGUAAUCAGGGUACAGGUUACAUCUCUCUUUUCCAGUCUGGGGGAUUAGAAACAUCUCAGGAACACGGGCAGCUUGACCUCCCUCUAAGUAGGGUUUGUGUCUCCGAGGCCCUUUGGGUCUCUUGGCCUUGUGCUCUCUUCACAGCCUGCUGAGAGUGACCGCCCUGUAAUCAGGGAUUGGGUCUUUGCCCUUCAGUCUCUUGGCACGAGGACAAGUGUAGCCAGUUGGUCUGAAAGCGCAGCCUUUAAACGGGGUUCAGGUCUCAUCAGACACCAUUUAUGGUACCCCCAUGACACUGUGUCCAGAGUCCUGGCCCUUCACACUGCGCUUCCAACUUGCCUGGAAUGCUGCAGCCAAGUCUCCUGCUCUCUUCCUCACUGGGCUCUCGGAGACCCGACAUUCAGCUGCUCUUGCUGGCAGCUUCAAGCACAAGCGGACAAGAAGGAAGUUUCAGGAUUGUCAAGCAAAGACGUGGAAAGAUGACAAGUCACAGAAGAUGGAGGAGAAGGAAAGGGACUCUGGGCACAGUAGCCUCCCUCUAAUCAGGCCUCAGCUCAUGUCA
This is a long non-coding RNA of Chelonia mydas (Green sea turtle), 1949 nucleotides long. RefSeq lists it as uncharacterized. NCBI's taxonomy places the organism in Eukaryota, Metazoa, Chordata, Testudines, Cheloniidae. The record is from RefSeq and is a predicted model, not a curated record. The transcript has 3 exons.